This 270-nucleotide ribosomal RNA is filed under the name uncultured archaeon. RNAcentral's name for it is "partial 16S ribosomal RNA". It matches the Rfam family "Archaeal small subunit ribosomal RNA", at positions 477 to 747 of the family's 1478-position model. The record is from RNAcentral.
CUGCAGCUCAAGUGGUGACCACUAUUAUUGGGCCUAAAACGUUCGUAGCCGGUUUGGUAAAUGCCUGGGUAAAUCGUGUAGCUUAACUAUACGAAUUCCGGGUAGACUGCCAAACUUGAGACCGGGAGAGGCUAGAGGUACUCCUGGGGUAGAGGUGAAAUUCUGUAAUCCUAGGGGGACCACCAGUGGCGAAGGCGUCUAGCUAGAACGGGUCUGACGGUGAGGGACGAAGCCCUGGGGCACAAACCGGAUUAGAUACCCGAGUAGUCC